Molecule: ribosomal RNA, 468 nt
Filed under: uncultured bacterium
Lineage: Bacteria
Description: partial 16S ribosomal RNA
Rfam family: Bacterial small subunit ribosomal RNA (bases 48-468)
Source: RNAcentral
GGGGGGGGGGGGGGGGGGGGGGGGGGGGGGGGGGGGGGGGGGGGGGGGCGGGCGGGGGGGGGGUGCUGGGGGGGGGGGCGGGGGAGGAACGCGGGGGUGACCUGCCCUGGACUUUGGGGUAACUUCAGGAAACUGGGGCUAAUACCGGAUAGGAGCUCCGGCUGCAUGGUGGGGGUUGGAACGUUUCGGCGGUUGGGGAUGGACUCGCGGCUUAUCAGCUUGUUGGUGGGGUAGUGGCUUACCAAGGCUUUGACGGGUAGCCGGCCUGAGAGGGUGACCGGCCACAUUGGGACUGAGAUACGGCCCAGACUCCUACGGGAGGCAGCAGUGGGGAAUAUUGCACAACGGGCGGAAGCCUGAUGCAGCAACGCCGCGUGCGGGAUGACGGCCUUCGGGUUGUAAACCGCUUUCGCCUGUGACGAAGCGUGAGUGACGGUAAUGGGUAAAGAAGCACCGGCUAACUACGUG